RNAcentral lists this transfer RNA (76 nucleotides) under Nitrospinota bacterium. RNAcentral describes it as "tRNA-Arg". It matches the Rfam family "tRNA". From Rfam's summary of the family: Transfer RNA (tRNA) molecules are approximately 80 nucleotides in length. Their secondary structure includes four short double-helical elements and three loops (D, anti-codon, and T loops). Lineage: Bacteria; Pseudomonadati; Nitrospinota. The record is from RNAcentral.
GCGCCCGUGGCUCAACGGAUAGAGCAACGGUCUUCGGAACCGUGGAUUGCAGGUUCGAGUCCUGCCGGGCGCACCA